Molecule: RNA transcript, 2314 nt
Organism: Brienomyrus brachyistius
Lineage: Eukaryota; Metazoa; Chordata; Actinopteri; Osteoglossiformes; Mormyridae
Gene: tes
Gene name: testis derived transcript (3 LIM domains)
Exons: 8
Source: RefSeq, a predicted model, not a curated record
CCCUGUACUCUACUUGGCCAUCAGAGGCGCCGCAGCCGCGGAAGUGCCUGCAAACAAUAAAACGGGGGUGAGGAUCGUCGGUCUGCGCUCCGUGAGAGGACAAGGCUCAGCGUUUAUAAUAAGUACAUACACACAGCAACACUUUGGUCGCAGUCAGUGAGCCUACGGACCAUGGAAGUGGAGCGGGAGCUUAAAAAGGUCACUCUGGGCCACGAGAUUGGAGCUGGAGCACCAUGUCUUAAGUGCAAAGAUAAAUGUGAAGGCUUCGAGCUGCACUUCUGGAGAAAGAUCUGUCGCAACUGCAAAUGUGGCCUGGAGGACCAUGACGUGCAGAUGAGCUCCGAGGAGAGAAAGAAGGUGGGCAAGCUCUUCGAGGACACCAAAUACACCGGCCUCAUCGCCAAGCUGAAGAAAGAUGUACUGCCCUCUGCGCCGGGCAACACAGGCCCCCUCCCCACUGAUGCGGCAGUCAAGAAGGACGCCGCGCCGGUCCUGAAGGUGGCGACGUAUGAGUGGAUCCCGCCUGUGGCCAACCCAAGCCUGGCCGCACGCUACAUAGAGAUGCUGCCCAAGGAGAAGCAGCCAGUCACAGGCACCGAAGGCGCCAUGUACCGCAAGAAGCAGCUGGCCAAGCAGCUGCCCGAACACGACCAGGACCCGACCAAGUGCCACGAGCUGUCGCCGGGCGAGGUCAAGCAGAUGCAGCAGUAUGUGAAGAAGUACAAGGAGGAGGCGCUGGGCGUGGGUGACCUAACGCUGCCUGAGGACCUGAAGAGCCAGGUUCACGCUGCCGCAAGGGAGGCCCCUGGGGCUGGGAGCGGGGGUGGAGGAGUGCCAGGCAGGGCCACCACGGCUGCUGUGGGGACGGUGGGACCUACAGGAAGUCCUCAGGCUGCAGCCAAGGCUGGACAAGCCUAUUCGUGCCACCACUGCCAGCAGCCGAUGCGGCAGGGCGAGCCCGCCGUAUACGCCGAGCGGGCCGGCUACGACAAGCUGUGGCACCCGGCCUGCUUCGUGUGCAGCGUCUGCUCCGAGCUGCUCGUCGACAUGAUCUACUUCUGGAAGAAGAGCAAGAUGUACUGCGGGCGUCACUACGGUGACAGCGAGAAGCCGCGCUGCUCUGGCUGCGAUGAGCUGAUCUUCAGCCUGGAGUACACGCAGGCCGAGGGCCAGGACUGGCACCUGAAACACUUCUGCUGCUUCGACUGCGACUGCGUGCUGGCGGGGGAAACCUACGUCAUGGAGAAGGACAAGCCGGUGUGCAAGCCGUGCUACAUGAAGAACCACGCCGUGUGUUGCGCCGCCUGCCAGCAGCCGGUGGAGCCUGAGGCCCAGCGCGUCACCUACGGGGAGCACAACUGGCACGCCGAGCCCCAGUGCUUCCGCUGCUCCGGCUGCUCCUGCUGCCUGAUCGGCCAGCGCUUCAUGGCUGUACAGGGCCGCCUCUUCUGUUCAGUGGAGUGCAAGAAGAAGACCCCGGCCUAGGGGGUGCUCAACUGCAUUCAGACACAUAAAACACCUUCACCCAGCUAGGGGGCGCUCAACUGCAUUCAGACACAUAAAACACCUUCACCCAGCUAGGGGGCGCUCAACUGCAUUCAGACAUGUAAAACACCUUCACCCAGCUAGGGGGCGCUCAACUGCAUUCAGACACAUAAAACACCUUCACCCAGCUAGGGGGCGCUCAACUGUAUUCAAACAUGUAAAACACCUUCACACAACUGCAUUCAGACAUGUAAAACACCUUCACACAACUAGGGGGCACUCUUACACAUUCAGACAUGUAGUGCACCUUCACACAGCUAGGGGGCAGUCAUCUGUAUUCAGAUCCGUAAAACACCUUCCCCCAGCCUUUAUCGGUGUUCUUAAUGCUUCCAUUGUUGUUCACAGUCCUCUCUGAGGGUUGUGCGGGUCUGCCUUAUGUCUGACAUGUAUUUCUAGUGAUUGUACAGGUGAUUUUUUUUUUUCUUUAAGACCUACAACAUGAACUUGAGAUUAAGCCAAAGCAAGCAGUUUCCUUUCACUGUAUUAAUGAUAUGCUUACUAGUAGCAUUCAAAGUGACUACUGACCCUUGAGGGGGGGGGGAGUGCUCUAACAUCAGGUGAACAGAGGUCACGGUCGGAGGACAUCUGAUGCCAAGUCAGGGAUUCUUCUUUCUUACACCAAGUAUUUGGAGUAAAAUGUGGUGCUCAUACCUGCUUAGAAAUACAAAGCAAUAGGUUUCUUACAGCAUUGUUGUAUUUUCAUCGUGCUACUCAGCUGCACUUUAUUAAACGCCUUUCAUACACGCUAAUAAAGUAUCCUUGGUCAAGA